Molecule: transfer RNA, 73 nt
Filed under: Minisyncoccota bacterium
Lineage: Bacteria; Bacillati; Minisyncoccota
Description: tRNA-Thr
Rfam family: tRNA
About the family: Transfer RNA (tRNA) molecules are approximately 80 nucleotides in length. Their secondary structure includes four short double-helical elements and three loops (D, anti-codon, and T loops).
Source: RNAcentral
GCCGAUGUAGCUCAGUUGGUAGAGCACGAUAUUGGUAAUAUCGAGGUCUCCGGUUCAAUCCCGGACAUCGGCU